RNAcentral lists this transfer RNA (64 nucleotides) under Typhlocybinae gen. 1 sp. 1 BY-2021a. Its description in RNAcentral is "tRNA-Pro". The record is from RNAcentral. Lineage: Eukaryota; Metazoa; Arthropoda; Insecta; Hemiptera; Cicadellidae.
CAGUUAAUAGUUUAUUAAAAUUUAGUUUUUGGGGAACUAUAAUGUGUAAGUUACACUUAACUGA